GUUUUCGCCUUGGCUGCAGGUCCCUGGGGUUCCAGGCCCCUGGAUUCCAUCCCUGUGGUUCUCACCGUGAGUCAUGGUGGCUCUGCUGUGCCGUCCUCGCUAUCUCGGGGAACCGGAGAUCCCCCUUAAUUCCCUCCAGCUGUGUCUCUACAGGGCUGAGGUCAUCCAUUCUGGCUCAAGAGGAAAGCAGAGAGUUUGUUGUGUCUUUGUUUCAUUCAAAUGGUUUGGACGGUGACUCACUCCAUUUCUUCUCUCUUUUCUUUUUAAACCAGGGCACCGUCUGGGAGUCGUUUUUGAUUAGAAGUUGACCUCAGAAAUAUGCUCACAUCAUUUUGAAAGCAUCUUCCAGCACCACAGAAAUCGACUCAGAUGGAGAAAGGACACUGAGUGGACAGGGGCCAGGAUGGGGCGUGGACGCUCUGCCUCUGCCGGGGACAAGGCCUUCCCACAGACUCCCUGGGGUGUUGCCAGCCUGAGUCAGAGAUAUUGAUGUAAUGCCUACCGUGUUCCAGACACGCUGCGAGGCCCUGGGGAUGCAGCCACAAUCCCAACAGAUCUGAUGCCUGCUCUCAUGGAACUGACUUUGCACUGGGGGGAGGCCAACUCCACGAAAACAGAAACUGGAUGACACAUUGGAGGGAGAGCAGUAAAAGGAGCAAGCAGAGAGCAAGAACAACAGUGUUGCCAUGGGGCGGGUGGGCCCGCUGUAGCCAGGGAGGGCCUCUCCGAAGGUAUAACAGUGCCUUGCUGAAUUCACUCCCACGACCCCUCCAUGCUUGGGUCAGGAUGCAUGAACCUGAAAGCACAUGAAGUCCUCUCUGGGAUCUUCUGCCUUUGGUCCUAACUGUUCUCAGGGGGAAGCGACUCUGAAGGCCAAGAGGUAAGUUUCCUAAGCAACCGGGCCUGCUGGUCUUGAGCCCUCCCCUGUGCCUUUUUUUUUGAGUCUCCCUCCGUCACACAGGCUGGAGUGCAGUGGCGCCAUCUCGGCUCAUCUCCGCCU
RNAcentral lists this long non-coding RNA (1000 nucleotides) under Homo sapiens (human). RNAcentral's name for it is "HSALNT0401737". Lineage: Eukaryota; Metazoa; Chordata; Mammalia; Primates; Hominidae. The record is from RNAcentral.